This 306-nucleotide ribosomal RNA is filed under the name Triticum aestivum (bread wheat). Its description in RNAcentral is "partial small subunit ribosomal RNA". The record is from RNAcentral. Lineage: Eukaryota; Viridiplantae; Streptophyta; Magnoliopsida; Poales; Poaceae.
AUGCAGAUUGAUGUCACUUCAUCUGAUGGCAAGACGACGGCGAAGGCGCCAAACACUGAAUUCCAAACCUGGUAUGCCGAAGAUCAACAAGUUUUCUCCUAUCUCCUGACGACACUGCCUCGUGAGAUCGCCAUCCAUGUUGCAUCAUGUCACACCGCUGCUGAACUCUGGAACACGGUGGGGGGGAUGCUUGCAUCUCACACCCGUUCUCAGACCACCAACGUCAGGAUUGCCCUCGCCAACCUGCAGAAGGGCAACUCCUCCAUCACCGACUAUAUAUGUCGCGAAGAUCAAGUCCCUCUGUGA